RNAcentral lists this ribosomal RNA (426 nucleotides) under uncultured bacterium. Its description in RNAcentral is "bacterial SSU rRNA". It matches the Rfam family "Bacterial small subunit ribosomal RNA", at positions 354 to 796 of the family's 1533-position model. The record is from RNAcentral.
GUGAGGAAUUUUCCGCAAUGGGCGAAAGCCUGACGGAGCAAUGCCGCGUGAAGGAUGAAGGCCUAUGGGUUGUAAACUUCUUUUCUCAGAAAAGAAUUAUGACGGUAUCUGAGGAAUAAGCAUCGGCUAACUCUGUGCCAGCAGCCGCGGUAAGACAGAGGAUGCAAGCGUUAUCCGGUAUGAUUGGGCGUAAAGCGUCUGUAGGUUGUUUAAAAAGUAUUCUGUCAAAGAUUAGGGCUUAACCCUAGAUAGGCAGAAUAAACUUUUAAGCUAGAGUUUGAUAGAGGCAGAGGGAAUGCCCGGUGGAGCGGUGAAAUGCGUAGAUAUCGGGAGGAACACCAAAGGCGAAGGCACUCUGCUGGGCCAAUACUAACACUGAGAGACGAAAGCGAGGGGAGCAAAUGGGAUUAGAAACCCGUGUAGUCC